This 396-nucleotide long non-coding RNA is filed under the name Prunus persica (peach). RNAcentral's name for it is "long non-coding RNA (PPER_LNC001503)". The record is from RNAcentral. Lineage: Eukaryota; Viridiplantae; Streptophyta; Magnoliopsida; Rosales; Rosaceae.
UGAAAACUGUUUCUAGUUAAAUGUUAAAAUUGAAAACAAGGGUUAAAAACAUGCUCCAUGGGUAAAAAUUAGGACUAAACUGAAAAUCAAAUUUCCAUGGAUUAAAAAUGGUUUUUUAUUUUUAUUUUUUUAUGAUAAGCGAUAGAAUAUUAUUGAUGUAAAAAAGGUAAUACAAGAAGUUUGAACUCGUAUCAAGGGCAAAAGAAAUUCCUCGGUCACGAAUUACAAUCUUCGUACAAUAUGUCAGAAAUAAAAUCAGGAGGUUCCUCGAACCAGUAUAAAGAACCCCCAAUAUGCAAGGCAAAACGGGCUAAACGAUGAGCCACACCAUUAGCAGUACGACGAAUAUGGGUAAAACCUUCCCCAGUGAUCUGUGUCAGCAAGCUCUUGGUAUCC